UUAAGUUAUUAAGGGCGCACGGUGGAUGCCUUGGCACUAGAAGCCGAUGAAGGACGUUACUAACGACGAUAUGCUUUGGGGAGCUGUAAGUAAGCUUUGAUCCAGAGAUUUCCGAAUGGGGAAACCCAGCAUGAGUUAUGUCAUGUUAUCGAUAUGUGAAUACAUAGCAUAUCAGAAGGCACACCCGGAGAACUGAAACAUCUUAGUACCCGGAGGAAGAAAAAGAAAAUUCGAUUCCCUUAGUAGCGGCGAGCGAAACGGGAAGAGCCCAAACCAACAAGCUUGCUUGUUGGGGUUGUAGGACACUCUAUACGGAGUUACAAAGGACGACAUUAGACGAAUCAUCUGGAAAGAUGAAUCAAAGAAGGUAAUAAUCCUGUAGUCGAAAAUGUUGUCUCUCUUGAGUGGAUCCUGAGUACGACGGAACACGUGAAAUUCCGUCGGAAUCUGGGAGGACCAUCUCCUAAGGCUAAAUACUCUCUAGUGACCGAUAGUGAACCAGUACCGUGAGGGAAAGGUGAAAAGCACCCCGGAAGGGGAGUGAAAUAGAACCUGAAACCGUGUGCUUACAAGUAGUCAGAGCCCGUUAAUGGGUGAUGGCGUGCCUUUUGUAGAAUGAACCGGCGAGUUACGAUUUGAUGCAAGGUUAAGCAGUAAAUGUGGAGCCGUAGCGAAAGCGAGUCUGAAUAGGGCGUUUAGUAUUUGGUCGUAGACCCGAAACCAGGUGAUCUACCCUUGGUCAGGUUGAAGUUCAGGUAACACUGAAUGGAGGACCGAACCGACUUACGUUGAAAAGUGAGCGGAUGAACUGAGGGUAGCGGAGAAAUUCCAAUCGAACCUGGAGAUAGCUGGUUCUCUCCGAAAUAGCUUUAGGGCUAGCCUCAAGUGAUGAUUAUUGGAGGUAGAGCACUGUUUGGACGAGGGGCCCCUCUCGGGUUACCGAAUUCAGACAAACUCCGAAUGCCAAUUAAUUUAACUUGGGAGUCAGAACAUGGGUGAUAAGGUCCGUGUUCGAAAGGGAAACAGCCCAGACCACCAGCUAAGGUCCCAAAAUAUAUGUUAAGUGGAAAAGGAUGUGGCGUUGCCCAGACAACUAGGAUGUUGGCUUAGAAGCAGCCAUCAUUUAAAGAGUGCGUAAUAGCUCACUAGUCGAGUGACACUGCGCCGAAAAUGUACCGGGGCUAAACAUAUUACCGAAGCUGUGGAUUGUCCUUUGGACAAUGGUAGGAGAGCGUUCUAAGGGCGUUGAAGCAUGAUCGUAAGGACAUGUGGAGCGCUUAGAAGUGAGAAUGCCGGUGUGAGUAGCGAAAGACGGGUGAGAAUCCCGUCCACCGAUUGACUAAGGUUUCCAGAGGAAGGCUCGUCCGCUCUGGGUUAGUCGGGUCCUAAGCUGAGGCCGACAGGCGUAGGCGAUGGAUAACAGGUUGAUAUUCCUGUACCACCUAUAAUCGUUUUAAUCGAUGGGGGGACGCAGUAGGAUAGGCGAAGCGUGCGAUUGGAUUGCACGUCUAAGCAGUAAGGCUGAGUAUUAGGCAAAUCCGGUACUCGUUAAGGCUGAGCUGUGAUGGGGAGAAGACAUUGAGUCUUCGAGUCGUUGAUUUCACACUGCCGAGAAAAGCCUCUAGAUAGAAAAUAGGUGCCCGUACCGCAAACCGACACAGGUAGUCAAGAUGAGAAUUCUAAGGUGAGCGAGCGAACUCUCGUUAAGGAACUCGGCAAAAUGACCCCGUAACUUCGGGAGAAGGGGUGCUCUUUAGGGUUAACGCCCAGAAGAGCCGCAGUGAAUAGGCCCAAGCGACUGUUUAUCAAAAACACAGGUCUCUGCUAAACCGUAAGGUGAUGUAUAGGGGCUGACGCCUGCCCGGUGCUGGAAGGUUAAGAGGAGUGGUUAGCUUCUGCGAAGCUACGAAUCGAAGCCCCAGUAAACGGCGGCCGUAACUAUAACGGUCCUAAGGUAGCGAAAUUCCUUGUCGGGUAAGUUCCGACCCGCACGAAAGGCGUAACGAUUUGGGCACUGUCUCAACGAGAGACUCGGUGAAAUCAUAGUACCUGUGAAGAUGCAGGUUACCCGCGACAGGACGGAAAGACCCCGUGGAGCUUUACUGUAGCCUGAUAUUGAAAUUCGGCACAGCUUGUACAGGAUAGGUAGGAGCCUUUGAAACGUGAGCGCUAGCUUACGUGGAGGCGCUGGUGGGAUACUACCCUAGCUGUGUUGGCUUUCUAACCCGCACCACUUAUCGUGAUGGGAGACAGUGUCAGGCGGGCAGUUUGACUGGGGCGGUCGCCUCCUAAAAGGUAACGGAGGCGCUCAAAGGUUCCCUCAGAAUGGUUGGAAAUCAUUCAUAGAGUGUAAAGGCAUAAGGGAGCUUGACUGCGAGACCUACAAGUCGAGCAGGGUCGAAAGACGGACUUAGUGAUCCGGUGGUUCCGCAUGGAAGGGCCAUCGCUCAACGGAUAAAAGCUACCCCGGGGAUAACAGGCUUAUCUCCCCCAAGAGUUCACAUCGACGGGGAGGUUUGGCACCUCGAUGUCGGCUCAUCGCAUCCUGGGGCUGUAGUCGGUCCCAAGGGUUGGGCUGUUCGCCCAUUAAAGCGGUACGCGAGCUGGGUUCAGAACGUCGUGAGACAGUUCGGUCCCUAUCCGUCGUGGGCGUAGGAAAUUUGAGAGGAGCUGUCCUUAGUACGAGAGGACCGGGAUGGACAUACCUCUGGUGUACCAGUUGUCGUGCCAACGGCAUAGCUGGGUAGCUAUGUGUGGACGGGAUAAGUGCUGAAAGCAUCUAAGCAUGAAGCCCCCCUCAAGAUGAGAUUUCCCAACUUCGGUUAUAAGAUCCCUCAAAGAUGAUGAGGUUAAUAGGUUCGAGGUGGAAGCAUGGUGACAUGUGGAGCUGACGAAUACUAAUCGAUCGAAGACUUAAUCAA
RNAcentral lists this ribosomal RNA (2921 nucleotides) under Staphylococcus aureus. RNAcentral describes it as "bacterial LSU rRNA". It matches the Rfam family "Bacterial large subunit ribosomal RNA". Lineage: Bacteria; Bacillati; Bacillota; Bacilli; Caryophanales; Staphylococcaceae. The record is from RNAcentral.